AGUGAACGCUGGCGGUAGGCCUAACACAUGCAAGUCGAACGGCAGCACAGGAGAGCUUGCUCUCUGGGUGGCGAGUGGCGGACGGGUGAGGAAUACAUCGGAAUCUACUCUGUCGUGGGGGAUAACGUAGGGAAACUUACGCUAAUACCGCAUACGACCUACGGGUGAAAGCAGGGGACCUUCGGGCCUUGCGCGAUUGAAUGAGCCGAUGUCGGAUUAGCUAGUUGGCGGGGUAAAGGCACACCAAGGCGACGAUCAGUAGCUGGUCUGAGAGGAUGAUCAGCCACACUGGAACUGAGACACGGUCCAGACUCCUACGGGAGGCAGCAGUGGGGAAUAUUGGACAAUGGGCGCAAGCCUGAUCCAACCAUACCGCGUGGGUGAAGAAGGCCUUCGGGUUGUAAAGCCCUUUUGUUGGGAAAGAAAUCCAGCUGGCUAAUACCCGGUUGGGAUGACGGUACCCAAAGAAUAAGCACCGGCUAACUUCGUGCCAGCAGCCGCCGUAA
This 506-nucleotide ribosomal RNA is filed under the name uncultured bacterium. RNAcentral describes it as "partial 16S ribosomal RNA". It matches the Rfam family "Bacterial small subunit ribosomal RNA", at positions 29 to 523 of the family's 1533-position model. The record is from RNAcentral.